RNAcentral lists this ribosomal RNA (799 nucleotides) under uncultured Glomus. Its description in RNAcentral is "SSU rRNA". It matches the Rfam family "Eukaryotic small subunit ribosomal RNA", at positions 314 to 1114 of the family's 1831-position model. The record is from RNAcentral. Lineage: Eukaryota; Fungi; Glomeromycota; Glomeromycetes; Glomerales; Glomeraceae.
AUCAACUUUCGAUGGUAGGAUAGAGGCCUACCAUGGUGGUAACGGGUAACGGGGUGUUAGGGCACGACACCGGAGAGGGAGCCUGAGAAACGGCUACCACAUCCAAGGAUGGCAGCAGGCGCGCAAAUUACCCAAUCCCGACACGGGGAGGUAGUGACAAUAAAUAACAAUACGGGGUUCUUUAGGAUCUCGUAAUUGGAAUGAGUACAAUUUAAAUCUCUUAACGAGGAACAAUUGGAGGGCAAGUCUGGUGCCAGCAGCCGCGGUAAUUCCAGCUCCAAUAGCGUAUAUUAAAGUUGUUGCAGUUAAAAAGCUCGUAGUUGAAUUUCGGGGUUAGUAGGUUGGUCAUGCCUCUGGUAUGUACUGGUCUCACUGAUUCCUCCUUCCUUAUGAACCGUAAUGCCAUUAAUUUGGUGUUGCGGGGAAUUUGGACUGUUACUUUGAAAAAAUUAGAGUGUUUAAAACAAGCUAACGCUUGAAUACAUUAGCAUGGAAUAAUGAAAUAGGACGUUCGAUCUUAUUUUGUUGGUUUCUAGGAUUGACGUAAUGAUUAAUAGGGAUAGUUGGGGGCAUUAGUAUUCAAUUGCCAGAGGUGAAAUUCUUGGAUUUAUUGAAGACUAACUACUGCGAAAGCAUUUGCCAAGGAUGUUUUCAUUAAUCAAGAACGAAAGUUAGGGGAUCGAAGACGAUCAGAUACCGUCGUAGUCUUAACCAUAAACUAUGCCGACUAGGGAUCGGAUGAUGUUAAUUUUUUAAUGACUCAUUCGGCGCCUUACGGGAAACCAAAGUGUUUGGGUUC